GUGCCAGCCGCCGCGGUAAGACAGAGGGUGCAAACGUUGUUCGGAAUUACUGGGCGUAAAGCGCGUGUAGGCGGCAAGGUAUGUCGGAUGUGAAAUCCCGUGGCUCAACCAUGGAAGUGCACCCGAAACUACCUCGCUGGAGUCCCGGAGAGGAAGGUAGAAUGCUUGGUGUAGAGGUGAAAUUCGUAGAUAUCAAGCGGAAUACCGGUGGCGAAGGCGGCCUUCUGGACGGUGACUGACGCUGAGACGCGAAAGCGUGGGGAGCAAACAGGAUUAGAUACCCCGGUAGUCC
RNAcentral lists this ribosomal RNA (292 nucleotides) under uncultured bacterium. RNAcentral describes it as "partial 16S ribosomal RNA". It matches the Rfam family "Bacterial small subunit ribosomal RNA", at positions 505 to 796 of the family's 1533-position model. The record is from RNAcentral.